GGUGAGGUGGCCGAGAGGCUGAAGGCGCUCCCCUGCUAAGGGAAUAUGCGGUCAAAAGCUGCAUCCGGGGUUCGAAUCCCCGCCUCACCGCCA
This 93-nucleotide transfer RNA is filed under the name Klebsiella pneumoniae. Its description in RNAcentral is "tRNA-Ser". It matches the Rfam family "tRNA". From Rfam's summary of the family: Transfer RNA (tRNA) molecules are approximately 80 nucleotides in length. Their secondary structure includes four short double-helical elements and three loops (D, anti-codon, and T loops). RNAcentral also lists the same sequence under 1 other name. The record is from RNAcentral. Lineage: Bacteria; Pseudomonadati; Pseudomonadota; Gammaproteobacteria; Enterobacterales; Enterobacteriaceae.